AGAGUUUGAUCCUGGCUCAGAACGAACGCUGGCGGCGUGGAUAAGACAUGCAAGUCGAGCGGGAUUUUUUCCUGUAGCAAUACAGGGAAAAGUCUAGCGGCGAACGGGUGCUUAACACGUGGGCAACCUGCCAAGAAGUGGGGGAUAGCUCGCCGAAAGGCGAAUUAAUACCGCAUGUGAUCAGAGUGGACAUCCAUUCAAAAUCAAAGUCGGGGCAACCUGACGCUUCUUGAGGGGCCCGCGGCCUAUCAGCUAGUUGGUGGGGUAACGGCCCACCAAGGCUUAGACGGGUAGCUGGUCUGAGAGGACGACCAGCCACACUGGGACUGAGACACGGCCCAGACACCUACGGGUGGCAGCAGUCGAGAAUUUUUCUCAAUGGGGGAAACCCUGAAGGAGCGACGCCGCGUGGAGGAUGAAGGUCUUCGGAUUGUAAACUCCUGUCAUUAGGGAACAAAUCUUCCAAGUAACUACUGGAAGGCUGAUAGUACCUGAAGAGGAAGGGACGGCUAACUCUGUGCCAGCAGCCGCGGUAAUACAGAGGUCCCAACCGUUGUUCGGAUUCAUUGGGCGUAAAGGGUGCGUAGGCGGCGGGGCAAGUCAGGUGUGAAAUCUCGGGGCUCAACCCCGAAACUGCACUUGAUACUGCCUUGCUCGAGUACUGGAGAGGAGACUGGAAUUUACGGUGUAGCAGUGAAAUGCGUAGAUAUCGUAAGGAAGACCAGUGGCGAAGGCGAGUCUCUGGACAGUUACUGACGCUGAGGCACGAAGGCCAGGGGAGCAAACGGGAUUAGAUACCCCAGUAGUCC
Molecule: ribosomal RNA, 809 nt
Filed under: uncultured bacterium
Lineage: Bacteria
Description: bacterial SSU rRNA
Rfam family: Bacterial small subunit ribosomal RNA
Source: RNAcentral